Molecule: transfer RNA, 72 nt
Filed under: Actinomadura hallensis
Lineage: Bacteria; Bacillati; Actinomycetota; Actinomycetes; Streptosporangiales; Thermomonosporaceae
Rfam family: tRNA
About the family: Transfer RNA (tRNA) molecules are approximately 80 nucleotides in length. Their secondary structure includes four short double-helical elements and three loops (D, anti-codon, and T loops).
Source: Rfam by way of RNAcentral
GACCUCGUAGCUCAGCGGCAGAGCACCGGCCCCUCACGCCGGAAGCCGUGGGUUCGAAUCCCAUCGGGGUCG